GGGGGCGUUCUGGGAUUCGACGGGGACAGAUCGAGCGUCGGUAGCGAGCCGAGGGGCUGCGUCCUUCGUAAAAAACGCGGAUGGCCAAAUGUAACUGGCAAACAAGAAAACUACGCUCUGGCUGCUUAAUUUAACCAGCCAGGAUCCGUUUGCGUCAUCGCCCGUGUGGCGUAAACGGGUCUCAUAACCUUAGCGGGCUAGUCUGACCGAGUCGCUGUCGACGGUCAGGCGAAAUCAAGACAGCUAGUUCGACGGAGCGCCUGUCACUGGGCAGUCCGCCGAGCGAAACUCUAAUACAGUGACUGCGCUCGGAGAAGCCGGCGUGGCGAUGUCUUCGGACAGCGGUUCGACUCCGCUCGCCUCCACCA
RNAcentral lists this transfer-messenger RNA (368 nucleotides) under Marinithermofilum abyssi. RNAcentral's name for it is "Standard tmRNA". It matches the Rfam family "transfer-messenger RNA". From Rfam's summary of the family: Bacterial tmRNA, also known as 10Sa RNA or SsrA, is named for its dual tRNA and mRNA-like properties. Its role is to liberate the mRNA from a stalled ribosome. Lineage: Bacteria; Bacillati; Bacillota; Bacilli; Caryophanales; Thermoactinomycetaceae. The record is from Rfam by way of RNAcentral.